This is a long non-coding RNA of Cyprinus carpio carpio, 1383 nucleotides long. The record is from Ensembl. NCBI's taxonomy places the organism in Eukaryota, Metazoa, Chordata, Actinopteri, Cypriniformes, Cyprinidae.
CAAAGUUAAGACUAAAGCUUGCCCACAUUAAAGAUGUUUCUAACAUCUUAAAUGAAAUGUUUUAGCAAUGCAGAAAACAGAUUUCAGUGAGUUACUAGAUUUAUGAUCAUGAACCAACACAGUCUCACCCCUAUUCGUCACAUACUGCCGUUUGGUCAUUUCCCCCUCACGUCCAUAAGCCGACCCCCACGAAAAUGUAUAGUCACCACACCAAUGAAUGAUUUUAACAGUAUUUGCGCCGCACGCUACUACAAAAUACACAUUUGCAGCAUAAAAUCAAUCACCUGAAACCAUACUUUCCAGCGCAGGCAAACCGCUGGAUGGAUAACCCCAUUUCGUCAAAAUUCAAAGAUGAGGGAUUUGCACUCAAAUCUAUCAGACGACCCUCUACGUUGUCAAGCGACGAAUAGGGGGUACCCUCAACGUCGGCUUAUGGACAUGAGGGGGAAAUGACCAAACGGCAGUAUGUGACGAAUAGGGGUGAGACUGUGUUGCCUAAAACAAACUGAUUUUAUAGAAUUUAGAAUUUAUUUUGAGUGAUACUGUGCCUGUCAAUGCUGUUCAGCUUUAGAUCUCUCCUAGCAUCAUUACCUGCCGAUUUCUGCCUUAUAUCAGAGCAGACACUUGCAUGUCUUGGUCCAUCAGGAACUGCAUACUCCGCUUUAGACCCUCUAGCUCACACCAAGAGCUGCUUGGGACUUCUGAGCUCUGUAAAACCAACUGAUUAUUACUGAACAGUUACAGUAAUAUCAGUAACUAAAUCAGACACAAGAAUUCUGUGACAUCAACUUACUUGGACAAGUUGAACAUCCAAAACCUUGUUAAUUCGAUCCUCGAUCAAGGAGUAGCUACCAUAUUUGGCACAGUGUCCAGGAGAAUCUGAUCUAAGAACGUCAAAAACAGUUACAUUUAGAGGUUAAUGCAAAAACACACUGACCUGUUCUACAUCAGUGACGUGAGCUGGACCAUUCUACCUGCAGUCACCAGACAGGAUCAAUCCACCCCAGUCUCCUUCAACUCCCUGAUGAUCCCCCUCUGCUCAUUCCUCCAGGCCCGCACAAUGGUAGGGAUAGUGUAAUAGCGCUGAUGGCGGAAAAAUUGCCGGGACUUAUGCACUGCAGUCCAAACAGCUUCAGCAUCCUGAUUGUCUGAGUAGCCAUGCAACCUGAGAAGUGGAUGUUUCGAUGCACCUUCUCUUGGUUUUGCCAGUAACGCUCAUAACCUCAAGUUCCGCAGGCCUGAAAGAUGAGAGAAGAUUCAAUACUCAAGCAGCUUUAAAAUUAGGCAGUGAAAUACCUGUAUAGUUAAGACAGAAAUAAUUAAUACACAUACUGUACAUUCACAGACUAUAAUUCAGCUCCUCACAGACAGUUGACAAAUAAG